This 467-nucleotide ribosomal RNA is filed under the name uncultured bacterium. RNAcentral describes it as "partial 16S ribosomal RNA". It matches the Rfam family "Bacterial small subunit ribosomal RNA", at positions 28 to 507 of the family's 1533-position model. The record is from RNAcentral.
GACGAACGCUGGCGGCGUGCUUAACACAUGCAAGUCGAACGGAAAGGCCCUGCUUUUGUGGGGUGCUCGAGUGGCGAACGGGUGAGUAACACGUGAGUAACCUGCCCUUGACUUUGGGAUAACUUCAGGAAACUGGGGCUAAUACCGGAUAGGAGCUCCUGCUGCAUGGUGGGGGUUGGAAAGUUUCGGCGGUUGGGGAUGGACUCGCGGCUUAUCAGCUUGUUGGUGGGGUAGUGGCUUACCAAGGCUUUGACGGGUAGCCGGCCUGAGAGGGUGACCGGCCACAGUGGGACUGAGAUACGGCCCAGACGCCUACGGGAGGCAGCAGUGGGAAUAUUGCACAAUGGGCGGAAGCCUGAUGCAGCAACGCCGCGUGCGGGAUGACGGCCUUCGGGUUGUAAACCGCUUUCGCCUGUGACGAAGCGUGAGUGACGGUAAUGGGUAAAGAAGCACCGGCUAACUACGUG